Molecule: long non-coding RNA, 2226 nt
Organism: Canis lupus familiaris (dog)
Lineage: Eukaryota; Metazoa; Chordata; Mammalia; Carnivora; Canidae
Exons: 4
Source: RefSeq, a predicted model, not a curated record
CCCCCGCUCUGCCCCGCGCUGGACGGGUCGCUGGCACACUGCCCUCUACGGGCUCAGUGCGAGACUGAAAGGACUUUAAACGUGCAGGCGACAUUCAGCUGCCCAUUUCUGGUCUGGGAGAGAUCCCUUCUUCCUCCCAGGCCGGCGUCGGGCCGUAACGUCUGGGCGGAGGGCGGAGCUGGAGGUCAGGGAGCGGCACUGCGCGGCCAGAUGCUGGUGGCCAGAUGCUGGUGGCCGCGGAGCCUCAGCCUGCCUGGGCUUGCCUGCUCAUCGGUGCGCCGUGGUCACUGCCACCUGCCUGUGGGCCUGCCCUUCUGGCUUCUUUCUGGAUCAGAUGGGAAUGACUGUGAAGGCACCUGGCACGGCUCCUGUGAGCCCCAUUCCUCAUGAGGCCUCAACCUUGACCUGUCAAGACUUGAAUCAACACUGGCACGGUUUCCAGCAGCUCCAGGCCACAUCCUGGACAUGCCUCUGACGCCCACCCCACCGCCAACCCCACCCCCAAAGCGCAUGCAUGGGAUCAGCAGGGCUGCCGAGACUUAUCGAGCACCUGAGGACAGGGCCUCCGUGUGCUGUGUCUGUGGGAGGCUGGAAUCCUAACCUCAGUACCAGCCCGCCAGGACAGCCGGUGUAGCUGCAUUUCCACUGGCCCUUUGUCAGGGCCCGUGCCUCCCGAGCCCCCCUUGCCCCAUGCCCCCAUCCUCCCUCUGGAGCACCAGCUACUUCGGGACACAUCGAAGUGCACUGUCCUCCCCAUGGUGUCCUCUACGGAGACUGGGCAGGGAGCUCAGGAAGGACUUUGUGCCGUGUCCCAGAAGUUUUGUCCCUCGUGGAUGACUUUGAGGGGCUCCAGACUGCAGAUGAGAACGAAAGUCGGAAGUGCAGCCUGAAGACAGGACUGAACAGCUACAAUCUCGUGAUAAAACCUGAAUGAACACGUUGCUUCUUAGGAUGAGCAAAGAAAGUGGUUUCCUGAGAUGGAAGCUACUCCCAGUGGACACACUGUGUAGACUGUGGGAAUGACAGGAAGGAUUUAGAACAUUUCAUAAACUGAGUUGAGAAAGCAGUCGGAGGACAGACUCAUUUUGGGAGUCCCAUGGGUAAAAUGCUAUCAGAUAGUAUUGCCCCUAUAGAGAAAUCAUCCAUGAAAGGAAGAAUCAAUCCAAACGUCAGGUUUCACCAUCAUCUUACUUUCAAAAGCUGCCAGGGGUGCCUGGGUGGUGCAGUCGGUUUGGCGGCCAACUCUUGGUUUUGGCUCAGGGGCAUGAGAUUGAACCCCUCGUGGGGCUGUGCACAUUCAGCAGGGUGUCUGCUUGAGCUUUUCUCCCUCUUCCUUGGCCCCUUCCCCUUCAAAAAAAAAAGUUUACAAGGAAAUUGCCACAACACCCACCCUCAGCAGCCCUCAACAUGACACAAGACCCUCCACCUGCAAGAAUAUUGCCUGAAAGCUCAGAAGAUGGUUAGCUCUCCUCUGCCACAGAGCGUCUUUAAAUCAAGUGGAAUGGAGCCAAGACACUCGCCUUGACACAGCUGUGUGUCUGGGUAAUGCUGCACGUAUUGAAUUGUUUCCUCAGAACUUUCUGUGGCCUCAGCUGGUGCCAUCACAGCAGUAAGGCCCAAGGCAAGUAUGGUUCCCAGCAAAUGACAAACUGUUCCAGCCCAGGACAGAGCACUUGGUUUCCCCCUUGGAUGGUGAGACUCAUCCCUUCCUCUGUCGCUCCCUGCAUCACCAACGGCUGUGCGAUGUCACCCAGACCCUCACCACCCUCGUCCAACCCCUGGAACCACUCCAGCUACUCGUGCAGCAGCCCGGCCACAAGAUGCCCAGGAGCCUGGUUCUGGUGGGCCCCUGUAUGGAACAAUCAGUUCCAGUCCCUGGUGUGGCAGCUGCCCCAUGGCCUGAACCCAGCUCACCCUGCUUGGCUCUGGGUCCAGCCAGAAUGCAUCGCUGCACUGUCAGGAUGGCGCAGUGUGCUUGGCCAGCUAGGAGGUCCAAGAACGAGCCUGGAGUCGUCGAUUCAGAAGCAGAGAUAGUGCACUUCAGUUAUGGUGACAGUGAAGGGGGAUUUAAAAUGUGCCCCUGGGGGGGGGGUACCUGGGUGGCUCAGUGGUUGGGCCUCUGCCUUUGGCUCCAGUCAUGAUCCCGGGGUCCUGGGAUUGAGUCCCACAUCAGGCUCCUCACAGGGGGCCUGCUUCUCCCUCUGCCUGCAUCUCUGCCUUUCUCUC